This 242-nucleotide ribosomal RNA is filed under the name uncultured bacterium. Its description in RNAcentral is "partial 16S ribosomal RNA". It matches the Rfam family "Bacterial small subunit ribosomal RNA", at positions 95 to 334 of the family's 1533-position model. The record is from RNAcentral.
CCGGCGCACGGGUGAGUAACACGUAUGCAAUCCACCUGUAACAGGGGGAUAACCCGGAGAAAUCCGGACUAAUACCCCAUAAUAUGGGCGCUCCGCAUGGAGAGUUCAUUAAAGAGAGCAAUUUUGGUUACAGACGAGCAUGCGCUCCAUUAGCCAGUUGGCGGGUAACGGCCCACCAAGGCGACGAUGGAUAGGGGUUCUGAGAGGAAGGUCCCCCACAUUGGAACUGAGACACGGUCCAA